UACGUAGGGUGCAGGCGUUAAUCGGAAUUACUGGGCGUAAAGCGUGCGCAGGCGGUUUCUUAGGUCAGAUGUGAAAGCCCCGGGCUUAACCUGGGAACUGCGUUUGAAACUGGGAGACUUGAGUGUGGCAGAGGGGGGUGGAAUUCCACGUGUAGCAGUGAAAUGCGUAGAUAUGUGGAGGAACACCAAUGGCGAAGGCAGCCCCCUGGGUUAACACUGACGCUCAUGCACGAAAGCGUGGGGAGCAAACAGG
RNAcentral lists this ribosomal RNA (253 nucleotides) under uncultured bacterium. RNAcentral's name for it is "partial 16S ribosomal RNA". It matches the Rfam family "Bacterial small subunit ribosomal RNA", at positions 524 to 776 of the family's 1533-position model. The record is from RNAcentral.